This 682-nucleotide ribosomal RNA is filed under the name uncultured bacterium. RNAcentral describes it as "bacterial SSU rRNA". It matches the Rfam family "Bacterial small subunit ribosomal RNA", at positions 56 to 749 of the family's 1533-position model. The record is from RNAcentral.
UGCAGUCGAGCGGACUAUAAAAAGGGGUAACUCUUUUUAUAGUUAGCGGCGAACGGGUGAGUAACACGUGGGUAACCUGCCCUCAGGUGGGGGAUAACUCGGGGAAACCUGAGCUAAUACCCCAUAAGACUACGAGCUGAAAUGCUUGUAGUAAAAGGAGUAAUUCGCCUGAGGAUGGGCCCGCGGCCUAUCAGGUAGUUGGUAGGGUAAUGGCCUACCAAGCCUAUGACGGGUAGCCGAGCUGAGAGGCUGGCCGGCCACACUGGGACUGAGACACGGCCCAGACUCCUACGGGAGGCAGCAGUGGGGAAUAUUGGGCAAUGGGCGAAAGCCUGACCCAGCGACGCCGCGUGGGGGAAGAAGGCCUUCGGGUUGUAAACCCCUUUUGCAGGGGACGACACAGGACGGUACCCUGCGAAUAAGCCACGGCUAACUCUGUGCCAGCAGCCGCGGUAAGACAGAGGUGGCAAGCGUUGCUCGGAUUCACUGGGCUUAAAGGGCGCGUAGGUGGUCUUGUAAGUCAAGGGUGGAAUUUCACAGCUUAACUGUGGAACUGCCUUUGAUACUGCAAGACUUGAGUCAGGUAGAGGAGGGCGGAAUUUCCGGUGUAGCGGUGAAAUGCGUAGAUAUCGGAAGGAAGGCCGGUGGCGAAGGCGGCCCUCUGGGCCUGCACUGACACUGA